RNAcentral lists this small nucleolar RNA (247 nucleotides) under Amazona aestiva (blue-fronted amazon). RNAcentral's name for it is "Small nucleolar RNA SNORD17". It matches the Rfam family "Small nucleolar RNA SNORD17". From Rfam's summary of the family: The snoRNA HBI-43 belongs to the C/D family of snoRNAs, guiding 2'O-ribose methylation at position U3797 of the 28S rRNA. Pseudouridylation in position U3797 is predicted to be guided by the H/ACA snoRNA ACA48. The record is from Rfam by way of RNAcentral. Lineage: Eukaryota; Metazoa; Chordata; Aves; Psittaciformes; Psittacidae.
GUGAGGUGAUGAUGAAGUUUAUCCAUUCUCUGAGUGCAGUGGUGCUGCCCUCCUGCAGCACCCCGAUUCCUGUUCUAGGGUCUGGGUGCUGUGCAGCCUCCAGAGACCCUCUGGUCUGCCAGUGUCCUACUGGGGGCUGUUGUGGUGUGUGGCUGGCUGCCUGCAGGAGUGAAGUGGUGCUGGCAUGGUUGGAGCCCCUCUCUGGGGGGCUCUGUCCUCUCUGAGAUGAAGGGUGAUGUCUGAUCAC